UGUCUAUAGGUCCUGAUAUAAUGCUGUGUUCUCUCCAGGUGUCUAUAGGUCCUGAUAUAAUGCUGUGUUCUCUCCAGGUGUCUAUAGGUCCUGAUAUAAUGUUGUGUUCUCUCCAGGUGUCUAUAGGUCCUGAUAUAAUGCUGUGUUCUCUCCAGGUGUCUAUAGGUCCUGAUAUAAUGCUGUGUUCUCUCCAGGUGUCUAUAGGUCCUGAUAUAAUGUUGUGUUCUCUCCAGGUGUCUAUAGGUCCUGAUAUAAUGUUGUGUUCUCUCCAGGUGUCUAUAGGUCCUGAUAUAAUGUUGUGUUCUCUCCAGGUGUCUAUAGGUCCUGAUAUAAUGUUGUGUUCUCUCCAGGUGUCUAUAGGUCCUGAUAUAAUGUUGUGUUCU
Molecule: long non-coding RNA, 383 nt
Organism: Oncorhynchus keta (chum salmon)
Lineage: Eukaryota; Metazoa; Chordata; Actinopteri; Salmoniformes; Salmonidae
Exons: 3
Source: RefSeq, a predicted model, not a curated record